CUCCGGGUCGGUAGACGUAUCUUUCGGGAUCUUGAGAGCGGCGUACGGGUGCGGAACACGUGUGCAACCUGCCUUUAUCUGGGGGAUAGCCUUUCGAAAGGAAGAUUAAUACCCCAUAAUAUACUGAAUGGCAUCAUUCGGUAUUGAAAACUCCGGUGGAUAGAGAUGGGCACGCGCAAGAUUAGAUAGUUGGUGAGGUAACGGCUCACCAAGUCUGCGAUCUUUAGGGGGCCUGAGAGGGUGAUCCCCCACACUGGUACUGAGACACGGACCAGACUCCUACGGGAGGCAGCAGUGAGGAAUAUUGGACAAUGGGUGAGAGCCUGAUCCAGCCAUCCCGCGUGAAGGACGACGGCCCUAUGGGUUGUAAACUUCUUUUGUAUAGGGAUAAACCUACCCUCGUGAGGGUAGCUGAAGGUACUAUACGAAUAAGCACCGGCUAACUCCGUGCCAGCAGCCGCGGUAAUACGGAGGGUGCAAGCGUUAUCCGGAUUUAUUGGGUUUAAAGGGUCCGUAGGCGGAUCUGUAAGUCAGUGGUGAAAUCUCACAGCUUAACUGUGAAACUGCCAUUGAUACUGCAGGUCUUGAGUGUUGUUGAAGUAGCUGGAAUAAGUAGUGUAGCGGUGAAAUGCAUAGAUAUUACUUAGAACACCAAUUGCGAAGGCAGGUUACUAAGCAACAACUGACGCUGAUGGACGAAAGCGUGGGGAGCGAACAGGAUUAGAUACCCUGGUAGUCCACGCCGUAAACGAUGCUAACUCGUUUUUGGAAUGUAAGUUUCAGAGACUAAGCGAAAGUGAUAAGUUAGCCACCUGGGGAGUACGAACGCAAGUUUGAAACUCAAAGGAAUUGACGGGGGCCCGCACAAGCGGUGGAUUAUGUGGUUUAAUUCGAUGAUACGCGAGGAACCUUACCAAGGCUUAAAUGGGAAAUGACAGGUUUAGAAAUAGACUUUUCUUCGGACAUUUUUCAAGGUGCUGCAUGGUUGUCGUCAGCUCGUGCCGUGAGGUGUUAGGUUAAGUCCUGCAACGAGCGCAACCCCUGUCACUAGUUGCCAUCAUUAAGUUGGGGACUCUAGUGAGACUGCCUACGCAAGUAGAGAGGAAGGUGGGGAUGACGUCAAAUCAUCACGGCCCUUACGCCUUGGGCCACACACGUAAUACAAUGGCCGGUACAGAGGGCAGCUACACUGCGAAGUGAUGCAAAUCUCGAAAGCCGGUCUCAGUUCGGAUUGGAGUCUGCAACUCGACUCUAUGAAGCUGGAAUCGCUAGUAAUCGCGCAUCAGCCAUGGCGCGGUGAAUACGUUCCCGGGCCUUGUACACACCGCCCGUCAAGCCAUGGAAGUCUGGGGUACCUGAAGUCGGUGACCGUAACAGGUAGCUUA
This 1385-nucleotide ribosomal RNA is filed under the name Chryseobacterium cucumeris. RNAcentral describes it as "bacterial SSU rRNA". It matches the Rfam family "Bacterial small subunit ribosomal RNA". Lineage: Bacteria; Pseudomonadati; Bacteroidota; Flavobacteriia; Flavobacteriales; Weeksellaceae. The record is from RNAcentral.